This 1452-nucleotide long non-coding RNA is filed under the name Fukomys damarensis (Damara mole-rat). RNAcentral describes it as "lncRNA (ENSFDAG00000028826.1)". The record is from RNAcentral. Lineage: Eukaryota; Metazoa; Chordata; Mammalia; Rodentia; Bathyergidae.
UUUCACAGCUCUUAUAAGAUGCCAUUUUAAUGAAACAAAUGUCCCCGAGUUGUAUACUACCAGGAUUUCACUCAUCUCUCCUUUUCUAGGAUCUCCCAUCAAAAAUAAAUUUGGCGUUUCCCUGGCAGCCUAGCAUUGCGCGUGGGAUCGAUUGCUGCUGAGUCAUUCUCCGGCCUGGAUAAAGCCACCCACCUCCCCCUACACCCUGACAACUGCCAGUGCCCCAUCCACACCAGGGUAAGGUUCACCGGCAACCAGAUAGCUCAGCUCAAUAAUGCAUGAGGGCACGCCAUGAGCUCUGCUGCCGGGGCACCGGGGGACCCAGGCCUCAGCCUCCCCAUUACGGCAGCAAAUGCAAAGACCCAAGAGAAAUGCUGGGAAAGACGCGACAGAAAACUAUUUUUGGCAGUGCUGGGAUUGAACCUAGGACUUCUCCCUUGCUAGUUUCUGCAGGAGUACGGGCCAUUCACAGAAGCCACAGAAGCCCGUUCAACUGGAUGUCGCUAGGGGCCACGUGGCUUGUGACCCACCUGCAUUCAGGGGCAUCUUCCAAGGCUGCAAGGAUGGUGCCGGGGACCAGCAGCCCCCACAGCUCCGCAGCACUCAAAACCAGGAAAGAUGGGUCCCCACACUGUCCCCCAGACAGCGAGAAGCAGGUAACACAGGUGGCACAGCAGGUGCAUCCAGGGGGUGCCCACAGCAGGGGAUCUGUUCCAGCCUGGUCUACACAGGGUGGGGCACGUAUGACCCUCGGAUGUGUGUUAGGGCUGGGUAGGGAGGUGAGGGGUGGCCCCGGUGCAGGAGAGGCAGGAGAUGGAGCUGCAGUGCAGGACCUGGUGGCAGGUGACCUAGCCCUGGGUUGGGGGCAUUGGGGCCAGCUCUGGGCCACCCCAAAGCAGGGGGAGGUGGGGCCCAGGAUGGGGGGAGUUUGCAGCACAAAAGGCAGCUCAUGCAGGAGGGUGCUGGUCUCCUCAGCAGUCACACUGAGCACUUACAACAGACAUCUGGCCUCUUGGUUCUGGGGCCAGGAGCCUGUAGUCCAGAGUUGGCUGGGCAGGAACCCACUGCGGGCCCGAGGCAGGAUCUGUCCCUCUCCCCUCCCCCGGGCCUGGUCUCACCGGCUCUCCUUGUCAUCCUGGGUUAUGUGGUAUCUGUGUGUCUGUUUGUUCUCCUUAAAAGGACACUGGACACAGAUGAGGAUUCGUCCAAAGCCAGCACUGUGUCACUGCAAUGCUCAUGCUGACAUCUAGUAGGACCCUGUUUCCAAACAACAUCUCACUCUGAGGCUCCUGGUGGAUCUGAAUUUGGGGGACGCCAUUCAAUCCAGGGCAGGGGGAAUGUGGAACGAGCAGAGGCCAGAGCCAUAGAGGUGGGGUGUGAGGUCCCCCAGUGGCUGGUGCCUCCUUGAGGGCUCCUGGCCCUGCAGGUCCUGGCCAGCUCUUCAUGACCCGG